Molecule: ribosomal RNA, 497 nt
Filed under: uncultured bacterium
Lineage: Bacteria
Description: partial 16S ribosomal RNA
Rfam family: Bacterial small subunit ribosomal RNA
Source: RNAcentral
GAUGAACGCUGGCGGCGUGCCUAAUACAUGCAAGUCGAGCGAACGGACGAGAAGCUUGCUUCUCUGAUGUUAGCGGCGGACGGGUGAGUAACACGUGGAUAACCUUCCUAUAAGACUGGGAUAACUUCGGGAAACCGUAGCUAAUACCGGAUAAUAUUUUGAACCGCAUGGUUCAAAAGUGAAAGACGGUCUUGCUGUCACUUAUAGAUGGAUCCGCGCUGCAUUAGCUAGUUGGUAAGGUAACGGCUUACCAAGGCAACGAUGCAUAGCCGACCUGAGAGGGUGAUCGGCCACACUGGAACUGAGACACGGUCCAGACUCCUACGGGAGGCAGCAGUAGGGAAUCUUUCGCAAUGGGCGAAAGCCUGACGGAGCAACGCCGCGUGAGUGAUGAAGGUCUUCGGAUCGUAAAACUCUGUUAUUAGGGAAGAACAUAUGUGUAAGUAACUGUGCACAUCUUGACGGUACCUAAUCAGAAAGCCACGGCUAACUACGUG